This 253-nucleotide unclassified non-coding RNA is filed under the name uncultured Flavobacteriaceae bacterium. RNAcentral's name for it is "contains 16S-23S intergenic spacer region". It matches the Rfam family "Bacterial small subunit ribosomal RNA", at positions 524 to 776 of the family's 1533-position model. The record is from RNAcentral. Lineage: Bacteria; Pseudomonadati; Bacteroidota; Flavobacteriia; Flavobacteriales; Flavobacteriaceae.
UACGGAGGAUCCAAGCGUUAUCCGGAAUCAUCGGGUUUAAAGGGUCCGUAGGCGGACAAUUAAGUCAGUGGUGAAAGUCUUCCGCUCAACGGGAGAACUGCCUUUGAUACUGAAUGUCUUGAGUUCUUAUGAAGUGGUUAGAAUGAGUAGUGUAGCGGUGAAAUGCAUAGAUAUUACUCAGAAUACCGAUUGCGAAGGCAGAUCACUAAUAAUACACUGACGCUGAUGGGCGAAAGCGUAGGUAGCGAACAGG